UAUAUAAUUCAUGAAUGAUUAAACCCAAAGAUCCUCACUCGUUGGUCUUUAUAUAGUCUUUGACCUCCUUUAAUCUCUCCACAUCUUUCUCUCUCUCUCUCUCAAGAUGGUAAAAGACAAAAAUCUCACGGAGACAUUUCUCUCUACGGCGGAUGAACGUCCUGCUGAUCUUCCUUUCUCACCGGCCGACGAUAUAUCUCCGAUCACAACCGUUGGUGGAUUCGUUAGGGAGUUUAACGUGGAGACCAAGAAGCUUUGGUACUUAGCCGGCCCUGCCAUUUUCACGUCGAUGAACCAAUAUUCUCUCGGCGCUGUAACUCAGGUUUUCGCCGGUCACAUCAGCACCGUCUCUCUUGCUGCCGUCUCCGUCGAAAACUCAGUCGUCGCCGGCUUCUCAUUCGGGAUCAUGCUUGGAAUGGGAAGUGCGUUAGAAACGCUAUGUGGACAAGCGUUUGGAGCGGGGAAAUUGUCAAUGCUUGGCGUUUACUUACAACGAUCAUGGGUGAUCCUAAACGUGACCGCUCUUAUCCUCACUCUCCUUUACAUUUUCGCGGCCCCAAUCCUCGCGUUCAUCGGCCAAACGGCCGCGAUCUCUAGCGCCGCCGGGAUAUUUUCCAUCUACAUGAUCCCUCAAAUCUUUGCUUACGCCGUUAACUUCCCAACCGCUAAGUUCUUACAGUCGCAAAGCAAGAUCAUGGUCAUGGCCGCGAUCUCGGCUGUUGCACUUGUUGUACACGUGCCCCUCACGUGGUUUGUCAUUGAGAGGCUCCAGUGGGGUAUGCCGGGUCUAGCCGUCGUGCUUAAUCUCUCGUGGUGGUUAAUUGUCACGGCUCAGCUCGUGUACAUAUUUAGUGGUACGUGUGGUGAGGCUUGGUCUGGUUUAUCGUGGGAGGCUUUUCAUCAUCUAUGGAGUUUCGUUAGAUUGUCUUUGGCUUCUGCUGUUAUGCUCUGUUUGGAGGUAUGGUACUUUAUGGCAAUCAUAUUAUUUGCUGGAUAUUUGAAGGAUGCUGAAAUCUCCGUAGCCGCCCUCUCCAUCUGCAUGAAUAUAUUGGGAUGGACGGCAAUGAUUGCUAUUGGGAUGAACACCGCCGUAAGUGUGAGAGUGUCUAAUGAAUUAGGAGCUAACCAUCCAAGAACCGCGAAGUUCUCACUACUGGUAGCAGUGAUAACAUCGACGCUGAUAGGAUUCAUUGUAUCAAUGGUUCUACUCAUCUUUAGAGACCAAUAUCCAUCUCUUUUUGUGAAAGACGAACAAGUCAUCAUUCUUGUUAAAGAACUCACGCCAAUACUUGCACUCUCCAUUGUCAUCAACAACGUCCAGCCUGUCUUAUCAGAUGACUGGCUCCUCUCUAACCGCCGUUACUCCCAACACCGAUAAGCCCUUUGGAAUCACACAGAUUCGAGGCUACAUCCCCAUCCAGCUUGACAUGAACAAGCUGAACUACGACGUCUGGCGCGAGCUGUUCGAGACCCACUGCAGCAGCUUUGGUGUUUUGGGACAUCUCGAUGGCUCUUCCGUGCCAACUGAUGAUGAUGAAAAGCAGUGGAAAGAACGUGAUGGGCUUGUAAAAAUGUGGAUCUAUGGCACCGUGUCGGAACAACUCCUCGACACCAUCCUCAAGGCCAAGUCCAAAGCGCGUGACAUAUGGCUCACGCUUGAAGAGUUAUUUCGUGACAACAAGGAGGCACGGUCACUUCAGUAUGACAAUGAACUCCGUACUCUUGAGAUCGGCGAUAUGAGUAUCACCGACUACAGUCACAAAUUGAAAUCCCUAUCUGAUCUGCUGGCCAACCUUGACUCACCCGUCACCGAUCCCGCGUUGGUGAUGCAUAUGCUGAAUGGCUUGUCCGAAAAGUUUGACAGCAUCAUCAAUGUCAUUCAACACCAGACUCCCUUUCCGUCAUUCACCAAGGCCCGCUCAAUGCUACUGAUGGAAGAAAAGCGACUUGACAAGCAAGUUCGCCCUGCUCCACAACACACCACCAACACUUCCUCACCAACAGUCCUGUUCACCAACUCGGAUCACCAACAACAUUCCAACUCGCAAAACUAUCACCAUAACAACACCAACAACAACAACUCGGGACGCGGCUACAACACCAACAACCGGAAAAGAGGACGUGGUCGUGGUCGUAACAACUGGAACUCCAAUCAGUUUGGUUAUCCACCUACAUGGGGGUACAACCUGCCUCCUUGGGCGUACCAACCACCAUAUGGCGGACAACCAUCGUAUGCACCUCCACCAUUACACCAUGCCUACUCCACACUGUAUGCUGCACCGGGAGGAUCUCCGGUUCACUACUCUCCUCCCCCUCGCUCACAUAAUGAAGCUCACUUCCUUCAACCAGCUUCCACGCCACAACUCACUGCUUUGCCACAGGCUUUUAGCACUAUGACGUUGCAGGAUCCAGCGGGUCAGUCAUGAAUUAUGGACACCGGUGCUACUGAUCAUGUUGCCACAAAGCCAGGAUCUAUGGACCCGGACCAAGCUCCUGCGCUGCAACAGUGAUGGCCCGUUGUACACCAUCACGCCACCAGUUUCACCUGCUUACGCCUUCUCCAUUCAAGCGCCUACAGGGGACUUGUGGCAUCGCCGUCUCGGCCACACGGGCAUCUCCACUCUGCAAUCUCUUGCUUCUUCGGGUUUUAUUUAUUUUUCAAAGACAGACCUGACAAAUUUGUGUCAUGCGUGUCAACUAGGAAAACACGUCUGUUUACCAUUUUUUAAUUCAAAUUCGAUUGUCUCCACCCCUUUUGAGUUGAUUCAUUCCGAUUUGUGGAAAUCCCCUGUUUCGAGUAUUAGUGGUGUUAAAUACUAUCUUAUUUUUCUUGAUGAUUUUAGUCAUUAUGUGUGGGUCUACCCUCUCAAACAAAAGAGUGAUGCGUUCAGUCGGUUUCUUCAUUUCUCGGCUAUCGUCCGCACACAGUUUCACCACGGCAUCUCCUUCUUGCAAUGUGACAACAGUGGUGAGUUCAACAACCGCCACUUUCGUGACCAUCUUGCUUCUACCGGUACUGGUUUCCGGUUCUCGUGUCCUCACACAUCUCAACAGAAUGGCAAGGCUGAACGGAUGCUACGCACAAUCAAUAAUCUCAUUCGCAGCCUCCUUAUUCAUGCUCACAUGCCACUCGGUUACUGGGUGGAAGCACUACACACCGCGACACACAUCCUCAACCUAUUACCAUCCGCUGCCAUCAAUAAUGAGGUCCCAUUUACUCGCCUUUUCAAUAAAACACCUCGCUACGACCACCUCCGUGUGUUUGGGUCUCUUUGCUACCCUAACCUUCUCGCCACCUCCGUCCACAAACUAGCUCCACGGUCUACUGCAUGCGUCUUCCUCGGCUAUCCCUCUGAUCAACGGGGGUUUCGUUGCCUUGAUAUACACUCCAAGCGUAUUAUCCUAUCCCGCCAUGUGGUGUUUGGCGAUAAUGUUUUCCCGUUCGCUCACUCUCCGGCACCGCGACCACCAGAGGAAAUCUUUGUCCCCAUGACACCAAUUCCUCGGCUUCCUCCACUUCCUCUCUCUCCGUCGUCUCCCUUGGUGGUCACUCCGCCCGUUGAACCACCUCCUGCUCCCGCUCCUUCUCAUCCCAUGCAGACACGCGACAAAUCUGGCAUUACAAAACCGGUUCAUAGACUUUGUCUCCACACCUCUACCGUAUCCCCUCUACCUUUGAAUCAUAUACAGGCGGCUCGGGAUCCUAAUUGGAAUCCGGCAAUGGGAGAGGAAUAUAGUACUCUUAUUAAAAUGGGGACGUGGUGCCUUGUGCCACGGCCCAAGAAUACUAAUAUCAUUCGCUCCAUGUGGUUAUACAAGCACAAGUUUGACUCAAAUGGCAGAUUGUCUCGCUACAAGGCUCGACUGGUUGCGAAUGGCAACUCUCAACUCCCUGGCGUUGACUGUGAUGAGACUUUUAGUCCGGUGGUCAAACCAGCAACAAUUCGCGCUGUCUUACACGUGGCUACGGCGUAUGAUUGGCCGCUCCGUCAGCUUGAUGUGAAGAAUGCAUUCCUCGUACGCUGUUCAGCAGGUGUGUCUUUUUAUGCAUGAUCCACGUGAGGUUCACUUCAAUGCCUUGAAGCGCAUUCUUCGCUACGUCAAGGGCACCAUUUCUCAUGGUUUCCAGCUCUAUCGGUCCUCUCCUACGGCUAUGGUUGCUUAUUCUGAUGCAGAUUGGGCGGGAUGUCCUUCAACACGUCGUUCCACGUCCGGAUAUUGUGUGUUUAUCGGUCCCAACCUCAUCUCCUGGUCUGCGAAACGACAACACACUGUCUCCCAGUCCAGUGCUGAGGCUGAGUACAGAGGUGUCGGUAAUGCCGUUGCCGAGCUUACGUGGCUACGUAAUCUGUGUGGAAAUGCGGGUUCCGAUACCAAAGACUUCCCUUGUCUUUUGUGACAACGUCAGUGCCGUCUAUCUUGCGACCAACCCGGUCCAGCAUCAACGCACCAAACAUGUCGAGAUCGAUAUUCAUUUUGUUCGAGAACGUGUUGCCCUUGGAUACAUUAAGGUCUUUCAUGUUCCUUCUACCCUCCAGUACGCAGAUAUCUUCACCAAAGGCCUUCCUACUACGCUAUUUCAAGAAUUUUGUUCCAGCCUGAGCGUUCGGUCACCUCCGGCUCUGACUGUGGGGGUGUUAGAGAGAAUAUAUACGUAUCUUAUAUUUAUGUAUAUCCUAUGUAGAUUUUACCAUAUCUCGUGUAAACAUUAUCUCUCUUUUCACGGAGUUUUACAUAAUUACAACUAUAACUCGAUUAAGACAUUGGUUAUUUGAGAAGCUUAAAUAAUGAUUUUGAUGG
Camelina sativa (false flax) is the source of this 4800-nucleotide non-coding RNA. The record is from RefSeq and is a predicted model, not a curated record. NCBI's taxonomy places the organism in Eukaryota, Viridiplantae, Streptophyta, Magnoliopsida, Brassicales, Brassicaceae.